Molecule: long non-coding RNA, 878 nt
Filed under: Rattus norvegicus (Norway rat)
Lineage: Eukaryota; Metazoa; Chordata; Mammalia; Rodentia; Muridae
Description: long non-coding RNA NONRATT031665
Source: RNAcentral
CACCAUCGCUGAUAUGAUGGUGGGAAGCAGCCAUCUUGCCACGUCAUACCCUCUACAGCUCCUGUGGUUAAAUGGGCCGUUAUGUUCUGUGUCUGAAGGACUCCCUCAGAGUGACUGGAGAAACUGAGUCUUGUGGGAACUGAGCUGACCCAGGCCAGCAAUAUAGAUCGUCAGUCUCCUUGGCUGGGGCAAUGAGAGAAGGGUCGGAUUCUGUUCUCACUUCCUCUCUAGUCCUGGCCUCCGCUUCUGAGUCAGAGGAGCCCUGAAAUGGCCUAAAAUAGCCUCGUGGCUGGCAGCGUGCAGCUUUAGCGAUCCACGCCACGGCUUGCAUAUUGAUUUCGAUUUUUUUGGUUCUUAUCAAGAUAUAUUCCUCAUCCCUUCAGAGCUGAAGACAGAGAGAAUCACUGCCUUAAACCUGCGGUCGCCUUGGAUUUUUGGAAGUACAAAACCUGGAAGGUCAGGCCACGCCCAGAUGACAGUGAUCACCCGUGCGGGCCAAGCUGCACUCUGAAGCAGAAGUGACCAUCUCCUAGGAACCAGAUUGACCCAGGGUAGCAUCCUCAGGCCACCACACUGGACCCAAGCUGAGGUGAGGAUCAAGGAGACAGCAUCUGGACCAGGACUGCUUCAUGAUGCCAACAUAUUGCUCCUUGCCCCAACUUAAAUCUAAAGCUAACAUAGGCAUCCUGAUCUUCUGAAAUCUUGGGGGUCACUGGGCCCCUUUAUCCAUUCCCUUUCUCUAUGUGGGCACUUUGAAUAAAUCUCUCUCUCUGGGUUUUACUACUAAGCCCCCAACCCCAGUGUAUGUGCAUGUGCGUGUGCGUGUGCGUGUGCGUGUGCGUGUGCGUGUGUGUGUGUGUGUGUGUGUCUAUGCGCAG